UACGAAGGGGGCUAGCGUUGCUCGGAUUGACUGGGCGUAAAGGGCGCGUAGGCGGUUCGUACAGUCAGACGUGAAAUUCCUGGGCUCAACCUGGGGGCUGCGUUUGAUACGUGCGGACUUGAGUGCGGAAGAGGGUCGUGGAAUUCCCAGUGUAGAGGUGAAAUGCGCAGAUAUCGGGAGGAACACCAGUAGCGAAGGCGGCACUCUGGGCCGGUACUGACGCUGAGGAGCGAAAGCGUGGGGAGCGAACAGG
Molecule: ribosomal RNA, 253 nt
Filed under: uncultured bacterium
Lineage: Bacteria
Description: partial 16S ribosomal RNA
Rfam family: Bacterial small subunit ribosomal RNA
Source: RNAcentral